CGGAAGAUAUAAACAUAAAUUGUUUAUACAUUAAACUUUACACACUAUUCCCAAAAUCGAGUAACCUUAACUUAUACACAAUCAUGACUGUCUAACACAUGACAAUACUAUUCUUCAACAUACUUUACAACUUAACUUCACAUUCUAUCCCAAGCUGAACUUGGCAUCAUCCUUUUUCUUUAUCAUCUCAACAGGUAACGAGGUGUCGAUGGCCCGAAGUCCACACAUACACAAUAAUCAUCAGGAGUUGAGAAUAAAAAUUCAUUUUUUCAAAAGCACAUAGUGCGUAUUUAGCUUGAUGUCAAAAACUUCGAAGUCUAGCAUAGCUAGAAGAUUUGGAAUACCUAUGCUUCCAUCAUCAACUUCACUUUUUCUACUGAUCCAUUACUUAAUAGAUCUAUCUAUUCUUAUAAUCCUCAAUGCUCCAUUCAC
This 432-nucleotide long non-coding RNA is filed under the name Panax ginseng (ginseng). RNAcentral's name for it is "long non-coding RNA (PGIN_LNC014214)". Lineage: Eukaryota; Viridiplantae; Streptophyta; Magnoliopsida; Apiales; Araliaceae. The record is from RNAcentral.